RNAcentral lists this ribosomal RNA (429 nucleotides) under uncultured bacterium. Its description in RNAcentral is "bacterial SSU rRNA". It matches the Rfam family "Bacterial small subunit ribosomal RNA", at positions 355 to 801 of the family's 1533-position model. The record is from RNAcentral.
UGGGGAAUAUUGGACAAUGGGCGAAAGCCUGAUCCAGCCAUGCCGCGUGAGUGACGAAGGCCUUAGGGUUGUAAAACUCUUUCGUCGGGGACGAUGAUGACGGUACCCGAAGAAGAAGCUCCGGCUAACUUCGUGCCAGCAGCCGCGGUAAUACGAAGGGAGCUAGCGUUGUUCGGAAUCACUGGGCGUAAAGCGCACGUAGGCGGAUAGUUAAGUCAGGGGUGAAAUCCUGGGGCUCAACCCCAGAACUGCCUUUGAUACUGGCAAUCUCGAGUCCGGAAGAGGUUAGUGGAAUUCCCAGUGUAGAGGUGAAAUUCGUAGAUAUUGGGAAGAACACCAGUGGCGAAGGCGGCUAACUGGUCCGGUACUGACGCUGAGGUGCGAAAGCGUGGGGAGCAAACAGGAUUAGAUACCCAUGUAGUCCCUGAG